This 497-nucleotide ribosomal RNA is filed under the name uncultured bacterium. RNAcentral describes it as "partial 16S ribosomal RNA". It matches the Rfam family "Bacterial small subunit ribosomal RNA", at positions 28 to 507 of the family's 1533-position model. The record is from RNAcentral.
GAUGAACGCUGGCGGCGUGCCUAAUACAUGCAAGUCGAGCGAACAGACGAGGCGCUUGCUCCUCUGACGUUAGCGGCGGACGGGUGAGUAACACGUGGAUAACCUACCUAUAAGACUGGGAUAACUUCGGGAAACCGGAGCUAAUACCGUAUAAUAUAUUGAACCGCAUGGUUCAAUAGUGAAAGACGGUUUUGCUGUCACUUCUCGAUGGAUCCGCGCCGCAUUAGCUAGUUGGUAAGGUAACGGCUUACCAAGGCGACGAUGCGUAGCCGACCUGAGAGGGUGAUCGGCCACACUGGAACUGAGACACGGUCCAGACUCCUAAGGGAGGCAGCAGUAGGGAAUCUUCCGCAAUGGGCGAAAGCCUGACGGAGCAACGCCGCGUGAGUGAUGAAGGUCUUCGGAUUGUAAAACUCUGUUAUGAGGGAAGAACAAAUGUGUAAGUAACUAUGCACGUCUUGACGGUACCUAAUCAGAAAGCAACGGCUAACUACGUG